UGAGGCAUACUGCAACCUGAGCGUGGGCUAAGCACUUCUUUUCCCCAACCCUCUCAUGCCUCAUCUGUUAAAGGGGGCUGAUGGGACCAGCAACGAUCCAGAUGGUGGCUGUGCUCUGUCUGCGUGGGUCCCAGAGUGAGAAGCUGAGGUGCCGGCCUUGUUGAACAGGGAGGGCUGCUCUCUGCUCUGGAGAUGGCACUGUGCUCUCAUGUCCACAUUGUGGAAGGCGGAAGGGCGAGAGAGGCUGGGUGACACCUCUUCUGUAAGGAGCUUAACGAGGGCUCUGCCCUCAGUACUUAAUCAUCUUUCUAAAGGCCCCACCUCUUAACACUAUCACACUGGUGAUUACGUUUCAACACAUGAAUUCUGGGGGGACACCAUCAUUCAAACCAUAACACCAGGUAUCACUUGCCCUGUCCACCUUCUGGGGCUGUGGGAUGCCAACUCCGGGGUCGCUGGAUCUCACAGCAGGCUCCAGUUGUCUUUCAGUGCCUUAGAAACACGAGCGAGUGGUUCUGAACAGCCGCGGUCUUGCAUGCCUGCCCCUCAGCAACGGCCCUGCUCCAAACCGGUGUUACAGUGAUCUGAUUAUUGUAAUUGAUGACAUUAGGAAUAAGGAAUCCACACAGAAUAAUACAGGUGCCUGUCAUGCCAGAGUGGUUUUAUUCAUUGUUAGAGAAGUUCAUAAAGUUGAAAGAAAGCAUCUACAUGGGCUAGAACAGCAAAAAGCAUGUUUUAGUCCUUUCUUAAUUUGUGAAUAAAAUGAUGAAUUCCAGAA
RNAcentral lists this long non-coding RNA (778 nucleotides) under Homo sapiens (human). RNAcentral describes it as "novel transcript". The record is from RNAcentral. Lineage: Eukaryota; Metazoa; Chordata; Mammalia; Primates; Hominidae.